This is a long non-coding RNA of Nematostella vectensis (starlet sea anemone), 982 nucleotides long. RefSeq lists it as uncharacterized. The record is from RefSeq and is a predicted model, not a curated record. Lineage: Eukaryota; Metazoa; Cnidaria; Anthozoa; Actiniaria; Edwardsiidae. The transcript is spliced from 2 exons.
GAAGUAGGGUCAGAAGCAAUACGCAUUUUGUAACGCGAGACACGUUACAAAACUAACUGGAUCAAUAUUAAUUUUCGCUACACGUUCUACAAUGAUGCUUUUGUCUGCCGUGUUUGCAUAUUUGAGACCCUCCGCAUAACUUACAAAAGAAUUUCUGUUUGUUGUGCUCACAUAUCCCUUUCCCCUUGCAGUCUUUACAGAUAUAUCUCACUCGUCUGUGCUCACAAAUACUACUACCAUUGCAAUCUCUACACCGCGUUUUUCUCCGAUUAUGGGAGCAUAUUUGAGAUCCGUGACAAUCUUUGCAAUAAUAUUUUACUUUGCCGUGAGGACAUUUAUAAGUGUUAGGUGUCGGUUCAUCAAGAAUAUUAUGUGGUGGUGGUGGCUGCUCUUCAGCCGUACGUUCAACCGUUUGUUCCUCCAUUUUAUCAAACUGUUCACAUCUUUAAACCGCUUUUCAAUUUUUUUAGAUGUGAGCUAAAGUCGGCUGGUAGUACGAGGUGUUAAAAACCAAUCUACGAACGGUAAACUAUCCCAUCUUGACCGUUCGAACGUCUCGCAUCGCGUCCCUAACCUUUCCUCUUCUGCCCACAUCAUAAGAUACAUCUGGUAGUCCAACUCGCGAACGAAAUCUCUAUCAACCACAAAGGUUUUACCUCUAAGAAACGAGGCGAAUACAUCACCACCCUCGUCAAUCAACGGGAAGAUUUCACGCCGCGUCUCGGUAUCAUUCUCACCGCCAAACAGUCCAAGGUCGUCAUGAUUGCAAAGGGCGUCACUACUACCCUCGUCUCCCAAGGAGGCUCUACUAGUCUCGUAUUUGGCGAGGGCUUGAUCAAACAGUGCAAAUCCCGACACGAGAAUGGGGAUGUUAACCUCAGGCAUCGGUCCGUCGAGAGUAUUAUGUGAUGGUGGUGACUGAUCUUCAGCCAUACGUUCAACCGUUCGUUCCUCCAUUUUAUUAAACUGUUCAUGUCUUUAA